UACGGGGGGGCAAGCGUUGUUCGGAAUUACUGGGCGUAAAGGGCUCGUAGGCGGCCAACUAAGUCAGACGUGAAAUCCCUCGGCUUAACCGGGGAACUGCGUCUGAUACUGGAUGGCUUGAAUUCGGGAGAGGGAUGCAGAAUUCCAGGUGUAGCGGUGAAAUGCGUAGAUAUCUGGAGGAAUACCGGUGGCGAAGGCGGCAUCCUGGACCGACAUUGACGCUGAGGAGCGAAAGCUAGGGGAGCAAACGGG
RNAcentral lists this ribosomal RNA (252 nucleotides) under uncultured bacterium. RNAcentral's name for it is "partial 16S ribosomal RNA". It matches the Rfam family "Bacterial small subunit ribosomal RNA", at positions 524 to 776 of the family's 1533-position model. The record is from RNAcentral.